GGCCGCGGGAAUUCGAUUAGAGUUUGAUCAUGGCUCAGGAUGAACGCUGGCGGUAUGCCUAACACAUGCAAGUCGUACGAGAGUUUUUAACUCUAGUGGCGGACGGGUGAGUAACACGUGAGAAUUUGCCUUUAGGAGGGGGAUAACAAUUGGAAACGAAUGCUAAUACCCCAUAUGCUUUCGAGUGAAAUGAAUUUUUUAUUUGCCUAAAGAGAAGCUCGCGGCUGAUUAGCUUGUUGGUAAGGUAAGAGCUUACCAAGGCGACGAUCAGUAUCUGGUUUGAGAGGACGAUCAGACACACUGGAACUGAGACACGGUCCAGACUCCUACGGGAGGCAGCAGUGGGGAAUUUUCCGCAAUGGGCGAAAGCCUGACGGAGCAAUACCGCGUGAGGGAAGAAUGCCUAUGGGUUGUAAACCUCUUUUUUCAGGGAGGAAUAAAUGACGUGUACCUGAAGAAUAAGCAUCGGCUAACUCCGUGCCAGCAGCCGCGGUAAGACGGAGGAUGCAAGUGUUAUCCGGAAUCACUGGGCGUAAGCGUCUGUAGGUGGU
This 551-nucleotide ribosomal RNA is filed under the name uncultured cyanobacterium. RNAcentral describes it as "partial 16S ribosomal RNA". It matches the Rfam family "Bacterial small subunit ribosomal RNA", at positions 1 to 579 of the family's 1533-position model. Lineage: Bacteria; Bacillati; Cyanobacteriota. The record is from RNAcentral.